This is an RNA transcript of Scophthalmus maximus (turbot), 2348 nucleotides long. It is a transcript of the gene named charged multivesicular body protein 1b-like, with no coding region annotated. The transcript is spliced from 10 exons. The record is from RefSeq and is a predicted model, not a curated record. Lineage: Eukaryota; Metazoa; Chordata; Actinopteri; Pleuronectiformes; Scophthalmidae.
GUACGCACACGCCAGACAUCUCGCCUCGCCGCUGUGGCGGAAGGCAGCCCGAGGAAUCAAAACAAACUACUCCGGGAAUUUAGCAAGUGGCUGAAUGCUGCUCUCUACCUGUAGCCAAACAAACGAGGCUGGGUGCUUGUCUCAGCGGGAGACCUCGUCAUGUCGAACACGGAGAGUAUCCUCUCACAAACCCACCUACCUAACGGCACAGUUAGCUGAGCGCACGGAGCGGCUGCUAGUCGGACGUCAGCGGGGGUCGGGUUGGUAGCUAAUGCAGCAGCUUGUAACAUCCGCCCAGUCAUUCACCUGAGAAGGAAGAGAAGCACAGUCAGCCAGCCAGCCUAAGGGAAAACAAUCUGUCUUUUCUGCACUUGGGUCGGGUUCAAUCAGCUGCACGUCGUCAGGCUAUCCACAAGGGCAACACGGAAGCAGCCAGGAUCCACGCUGAGAACGCCAUCCGUCAAAAGCAUCAGUCCCUUAACUUCUUGAGGAUGAGUGCCCGCGUGGAUGCUGUGACGUCCAGGGUCCAGACGGCUGUCACUAUGAACCAGGUGUCUAAAUCCAUGUCCGGGGUGGUGAAGAGUAUGGACGCGACACUGAAAAGCAUGAACUUGGAGAAGGUCUCUGCAUUAAUGGACAAGUUUGAAAGCCAAUUUGAAACUCUCGACGUGCAGACAGCGCAGAUGGAAGACACAAUGGGCAACACCACGACUCUGACAACACCUCAGAACGAAGUGGAUAUGCUGUUACAUGAGAUGGCUGAUCAAGCAGGUUUGGAUCUUCACCUGGAGCUGCCUUCAGGCCGUACUUCCUCACUGGCUUCUACUGUGGCCUCGACAGAGCAGGAUGAGCUCUCCCAGAGGCUGUCCAGGCUGCGAGACCAGGCGUCAUAGUGAUGCAGAAAGGGACAAGAUCCGAGGAGGGAGAAGAGGCGGGCAGGGAAAAGAGUAAAAGUGGAUAAUAAAUGGAUAAGAUUACCAGAUACUUUGAUGAGAGAGAUGUCUGCAGUGCGCCCAAGCACGCACGCUCUUCUUGAAGUCCUCGUCGUUGGGGGGGGGGUUCCCGAAAACGCCUGACCCCGCUGACCCAACAGUUGUCAGUCAUUUCCAACAGCAGUUGAAUCACCUGAAAUUAAAAUUCCACGUCCCUCUGCUAAGUGCUCCAGCUAUAAGCAAGCAGCAUGGCUACAGGAAGAGUUGUUUCGACAAGUCCGGAUUAGCGUUAAAUCUGGCACAGAUCAUGUUCCCCUGAGGCUGAGCUGUGAUGAAGUCUUGGCCAUAGUAACAGUCGAGGGAUCCAGAUCCGGAUCUUGAUACAGGAAGUUUUGAAUUUUUUUUUCUCUACUCUCUCUGAUUGCUCUUGUCGAUUAUGCUUCGACUACAUGUUUCACACGUGUAAGUUAUUUCGAGGUGAGACAACGAAGGUGGAAGGAAAAUAAGGCGAUGCGUUGUAGUUGUUGACUAGAAGUUCCUAUAUAAUGAAGAGGAAAACAGGAAAAGAGAUCUAUCAAAAUGAUUUAAGGAAUUAUAUUAUUAUGGCCAUAACAGAGGUGUGUGUGUCCGGUGUGUGUGUGUGUGUGUGUGUGUGUGUGUGUGUGUGUGUGUGUGUGUGUGUGUGUGUGUGUGUGUGUGUGUGUGUGUGUGUGUGUGUGUGUGUGUGUGUGUGUGUGUGUGUGUGUGAGAGAGUGUGUGUGUGUGUGUGAUAUGCAUAUGGUAAAACACUCUGCUGGUCUGCCGUUAGUCACACUGCCGCGUCUCAAAUUGAAUUAGCGUUGACAGCACACAGCGCCAGCCGCGUGUAUGUGUGUGUGCACUGGGGGCACUCGCUGUUGGCAAGCUGUCUGUCUGUCUGUGUGUGUGUGUGUGUGUGAAACAGAAGAGAAAGAGGGCCCUCUCCCCUGAAAUCAAUUAAGCGAGUACAGAUCUGUAGUUGUUGGGGUGAGAGGGGCACAUCCUGUAGAGGGCAGCCCAAGACAGACAGCACCAUCUGGGGCAGCAGGCGGGUUGACCCUGGGCUGAGACAUGAAAGAAGCGGGGCAGGGAUAUGAAGAGAGGCGAGUACAAGCCAGCGUUAAAUCACUCUUUUCUCUCCAGCCCAUCCCCUCACCUGCCAUCCGAUACAUCAGACAUGGAGCAUCAUUCUCACUCAAUCCCCCCCCUCCUUCUCUCUCUCUCUUUAUCUGUCCCAAGAGUGAUAACCUGUCAUACACAGGAAACAAAAAGAGGUAAGAACGAUCUAUCCCUCUGUCAGAGAUCGGCGUAUAGGGCCAAAGAGAAAAAGAAUAUCUCACAUCUCUUGUUCCAAAAGAGUUGAUUUAUAGGUUUGUAUUUAAUAAAAAACGAUGCCAG